UGUUGGUAUAUGUAUGUGUGUUUAUACAAAUAUGUAUUUAAUUUAAAAUUGCUCUCAUUCAUUUGAAAUUAUCCUUUAUUGAUGACCAAGAGUCAUAAUUCUUAUAUUUCAAGAUAUUGCCUUGAAAUCCCAACCCUUUUCUCUAACAUGCUUUUCAUAGUUAGUUGAUCAUUCUACACAUUUGCCCUCCUAUUAAUUAGCAUCUAUAAAUAAAACAACAUAAUAGUCCCUCAUGUUUUCUGUUUCUUGGAGUAGAUUCCAUAAUCUCCUCAAUAUUAUCUAGAGUUCUCUAGCAGUGUCUUUUAUCUCUGCACAAAUAACCAGGGUUAGGUAGUGGUCUUUGGGGUUUUUCAUAAGUCUCUUGAGGCUUUCUAUCUGGAUACAUAAACAGUGCCUGGUCUAUAGUAGAUGCAUAAUAAUUGUUUACUGACUAACUGACUGAUAUACCUUGGGAAAAUCCACAGAUAUUUAUUAUUAUUAAUAUCAUUAUUUUUUCCAGAUUACCUGUCAACAUGAUUUUAAUAAUAAUUUUUCUGACAUUUUGCAAUCCAUGUUCUUUCCCACCCUCUUCCCUCCACAACCUCUCCAAAAAAGAAGGGAAGCAGGAUACAGGGAAGAAGUGAGGAUGGAUUAGAAGAAGGAAAAGACUUUGGAACUGAAACUUUAAAAAAGAAUGCUAAAAUGACUUCUAAAUGUAAAGGUUGAAAAAUGUUAUUUUAAUAAAACCAUGGGAUUAAUGCA
RNAcentral lists this long non-coding RNA (741 nucleotides) under Monodelphis domestica (gray short-tailed opossum). RNAcentral describes it as "lncRNA (ENSMODG00000042988.1)". Lineage: Eukaryota; Metazoa; Chordata; Mammalia; Didelphimorphia; Didelphidae. The record is from RNAcentral.